GAUGAACGCUGGCGGCGUGCCUAAUACAUGCAAGUCGAGCGAACAGACGAGGAGCUUGCUCCUCUGACGUUAGCGGCGGACGGGUGAGUAACACGUGGAUAACCUACCUAUAAGACUGGGAUAACUUCGGGAAACCGGAGCUAAUACCGGAUAAUAUAUUGAACCGCAUGGUUCAAUAGUGAAAGACGGUUUUGCGGUCACUUAUAGAUGGAUCCCGGCCGCAUUAGCUAGUUGGUAAGGUAACGGCUUACCAAGGCAACGAUGGGUAGCCGACCUGAGAGGGUGAUCGGCCACACUGGAACUGAGACACGGUCCAGACUCCUACGGGAGGCAGCAGUAGGGAAUCUUCCGCAAUGGGCGAGAGCCUGACGGAGCAACGCCGCGUGAGUGAUGAAGGUCUUCGGAUCGUAAAACUCUGUUAUUAGGGAAGAACAAAUGUGUAAGUAACUAUGCACGUCUUGACGGUACCUAAUCAGAAAGCCACGGCUAACUACGUG
Molecule: ribosomal RNA, 497 nt
Filed under: uncultured bacterium
Lineage: Bacteria
Description: partial 16S ribosomal RNA
Rfam family: Bacterial small subunit ribosomal RNA
Source: RNAcentral